GCCCGCUGGUCGGCAGUUCGGACAUCAAAUCCGGAU
RNAcentral lists this transfer RNA (36 nucleotides) under Chlorarachnion reptans. Its description in RNAcentral is "partial Selenocysteine transfer RNA". Lineage: Eukaryota; Cercozoa; Chlorarachniophyceae. The record is from RNAcentral.